UGGACAGCCGAUGCAGAAAGGGCCUUCCAGGCCCUAAAAGAGGCCCUCACCAGCGCGCCGAUACUCCGCAACCCGGACUUUGACCUCCCGUUCACUGUACAUACUGAUGCUUCCGAGACCGGGCUGGGCGCCGUCCUCUCCCAGACCUUCGACGGGGAAGAACACCCAGUCCUCUACAUCAGCCGGAAGCUGUCCCCGGCCGAGAGGAAGUAUGCGGCGGUCGAGCGGGAGGCACUAGCAAUAAAAUGGGCCAUCGAGGAGCUGCGAUACUAUCUGGCGGGCAGGCACUUCAUCCUCAUAACAGACCACGCCCCCCCUGCAGUGGAUGGCCAAGGCGAAGGACACCAACGCCCGGGUAACCCGCUGGUUCCUCGCCUUACAAGACUUCUCCUUUCAGGUUAAGCACCGGGCGGGGGCCCAGCAUGGUAACGCGGAUGGGCUCUCACGACGAGACGCCCUCUGGGCCCACCACCGAGCGGCAGUAGGCUCGGAGCUGAGGGGGGGGACGCCGGCCCGGGAAAACCCCCGCCCUGCCUCGGGAAUCCCGCCUCCGCCACGAGUAGACUCCGCCGGCCGUCACGCCUUCACAAAACCCCGCACUCAUCCACUUAUAACCCAUUCACCUCACCCUAGCCACAAUAAACCACCGCUUGCAACCAUC
Long non-coding RNA from Ictalurus punctatus (channel catfish), 661 nucleotides. RefSeq lists it as uncharacterized. The transcript has 2 exons. The record is from RefSeq and is a predicted model, not a curated record. NCBI's taxonomy places the organism in Eukaryota, Metazoa, Chordata, Actinopteri, Siluriformes, Ictaluridae.